UCCCGAGGACGGAAGAGGCGGUGCCCAGGGAGCCAUCCUCCUCAGCUAUUGGAGGUAGACUUGGAGCGGAGCGGAAGAGGGAAGGUGACCGGCGCUGAUGGGGCCUUUAGAGUUGGUCCACUUCUUCCGUUUAGGGACGGGACUCAGGCAGCCAGGAUGGGCGGCGACCUGCACUGGGCACAGCUAGGCUGAGGAGAGCCCCUGGCAUCUUUGCGCAGUGGCCCCCAGAAAUGUCUCUCCGGAGCUGUCGACUCAGUAUCCAACCACUUCCUUUGCUGUCGACUUGGAUUGAAAUCACAACAGAUUUUUAUUGCACGUCCUCUGUAUGCCAGGCAUCUUGAUUGGGUGCCGUGGAUGCAGUGGUGAUGGGCAAGGUUCCUGCCUUUAGGGUGCUCACAGUAUAGUGGGGGAAACUAAGCCGAUCAAAUAAACAUGCCAGUCUUACUAAUAAACGUAAAAUCUCAAACGGAAAGGAAUGGUCUGGACUUAUCGGAACUUUAAAAAGAAAGAGGACUGCCCUGGACUGGUCUGGACUUGAGCUGAACUCUAAAGCCUGAGUAGAAUUAACUAGGUCGAUGUCAGGGGAGGAAAACCUCCAGGAGUGUUCCAGCGUGGAGAACAGAAGGUGUAGGGGCUCUGGGUGAGAGAACAUGCUGGAUCACCAACAGAGGUAGAUAGAACUCGGAGAGCGGAGGGCCUGGUAAGAGAUGAGGCUAGAAAGGUGGACAGGGGCCAAAUUAUGCCACAUGAGCCAGGUAAGAAUUUCAGUCUCUGUUCCAAGAGCAAUGGGAGGCAUUUGAAGGGUUUUGGUAGGGGGCGACAUUAUUAGAACUAUGUUUUAAAAUGUCCUUUCUGGCUGCAGUGUGGAGAAUGGUUUGGAGGGGAACAAGGAAGAGGUUAGGGAGAACACUGGAGCCUGUUACAAAAGCCACGGGCAGAAAUGGAGUGAAGUGGAUGUCCCCGGGUAUCUAAACCACACUUCCAAAAUUGAACUGGCAGAGUAUGGUGGUGUAGCCUGGUGUUUAAGGGCAGAAUGAUGUAAAGGUUAAAUGGGUUGAGUUCGAUUGCCCGCGUUGUUUUCAUGUUCUACUUCCUCGUUGUGUGUCUGGGCAAGUCCCUUAACAUCUUUGUGCCUCAGUUUCCUCAUCUGUAAAAUGAGGAUAAUAAAUCCGCCUCAUAGGGUUGUAAUAAAGACUAAAUGAAUUCUUGGCACAGUGCCUCGUUCCCUAAAACAGGUUCUCCCCUGUGUCCCCCAUCUCGUAUGUACUACUGCUGAAGAGGAAUUUCCCAUUCAAAUGGCUAACCUCGUAAUCAUCUCUUUGUUCUGCUUCUGUUGACAUGCUUGCCGCAUAGGCUGAAGGGCAGAGUGACCUCAAGAUCAACUGAAGACUCACACUCCCUUUUGCUUGUUCUGUCUAGAUAACAGAUGUGUUGCCUAAGUUCCUAUCUGAAAAUCUCAUGCUCUGUAACUGCCCGUAGCCCAUAGCAACUCUCGUGCUCUGUAACCACCUCAGGAUGAAUUUACCAGUCGGCCUAUGCCACCUGUAACUGCCAACUGUAACUGCGCUAUAAAAGUAAGGUUACCCCUGAGCUUGAGGCCCAGAUCUUCAGAGCCCUAGCUCUUUUGGGACCGCUGGCAUAAAAAACCUGAGUUCUCCAACUCUCGGAGUGGUGCUUGGUUUCUCGCCCAUCUGAUUUUUCUGCAACACUGCCACCCACUGAAACGCCCAAGCAAGAAAACUUAGACAUUGUGCUCACUUCUCUUCUACUUCUAGUCACCAUAUUUGGAUUUGUCUCCCUUCUAAGCUGAUGUUACAACCCCACAUUCUUCCACUACCACCCAUCACUUGUCACCUGCACCUGCUGCUUCUCUGGCCUUGGCUUAAUUGUACAGUUCAACCUAUAGACAGCCCUGAGCCCCUGCAAUAUACCAGGCACUAUCUCAGGGCACUGACAAAAUGAGGAGAAAUGAGACAGCCCCGGUCCUCAAAGGAAUCCUGUGGAAAUGGAGAGACCCUCCCAUCACCAGGCUGUGUGGGUAGGGCACUUCCCCUCCCUGGAAUUCAGUUUCCCCAAACUGUAAAAGUUUGGGACCAAAUGAUCUCUUAAGGUCCUUUCAGCAAAAAUAUUUUAAGAUUCUUCCACUGGACCCAGCUCCUCCAGGGCAGAAACAGUAUAGUGAUUCAUCUUUGAUCCUUAGUUUGUGGUAAGGAGCUUUGUACCAUACACAGUAGGGGUUUGGUAAGUGCUUGAAUGAACAAAUAAAGGAAUGAGUGAACAAAUGAA
Pteropus alecto (black flying fox) is the source of this 2286-nucleotide long non-coding RNA. RefSeq lists it as uncharacterized. The record is from RefSeq and is a predicted model, not a curated record. The transcript has 2 exons. NCBI's taxonomy places the organism in Eukaryota, Metazoa, Chordata, Mammalia, Chiroptera, Pteropodidae.